Molecule: long non-coding RNA, 451 nt
Organism: Osmerus eperlanus (European smelt)
Lineage: Eukaryota; Metazoa; Chordata; Actinopteri; Osmeriformes; Osmeridae
Exons: 3
Source: RefSeq, a predicted model, not a curated record
AUAUUUUCAGGGCACCUCGCCGCUGAAACGAGAGCUUGCGAGACUCCUUCCACUGGUUUGACGGUCUGCAGGGGUGUCUGCGGCCCGUGGAGGCUGGCCGGGAUGGCUCGCCGUGUGGAUGGUGCAAUAGGGUGGGAAAGUGACACCAAUAUAAAGACGCAAUCAAUGCCUCCUAUUCAUUAUCCGCGUGCAUGACUUCCAGUUAUGGCUGAACUUUCCCACGAGAGAGACUGAUUGAAUGCUUUCCAGUCCUUAUGGAAACUGGAAAACAUUCCGAAGAGCCGGGGUGAUCAUUUCCAUAAUUACCCCGAUUGGCAGCCUAAUGACCUUCUGGAACAAUAAAAAGAUCUCUUGUUAAUUCCAUUUCUGUCGCUGACAUUCAAGAGAUUCCUAUCUUACAUGUUUGAGGAUUCACAAGAUAACAAGUGUACUCUUUUUCAUUUUUUCAACC